GAUGAACGCUGGCGGCGUGCUUAACACAUGCAAGUCGAACGGAAAGGCCCAAACUUGCUUGGGUACUCGAGUGGCGAACGGGUGAGUAACACGUGGGUGACCUGCCCUGCACUUCGGGAUAAGCCUGGGAAACUGGGCCUACUCCCGGAUAGGACAACAUCUUGGAUGGUGUGCUGGGAAGUUUUUCGGUGUGGGCUGAGCUCGCGGCCUAUCAGCUAGUUGGUGGAGUACUGGCAGACCACGGCGUCGACGGAUAGCCGGCCUGAGAGGGGGUACAGCCACAAUAGGACUGAGAGAGGCACCAGACUCCUACGUGAGGCAGCAGUGGGGAGUAUUGCACAAGGAGAGCAAGUCUGAUGCAGCGACGUCGGGUGUGGGAUGACGGUCUGCGGGUAGUGAACUGCUGUCGGUAGAGACGAAGCGCAUGUGACGGUACCUAGAGAAUAAGCACCGGCUAACUACGUG
This 465-nucleotide ribosomal RNA is filed under the name uncultured bacterium. RNAcentral's name for it is "partial 16S ribosomal RNA". It matches the Rfam family "Bacterial small subunit ribosomal RNA", at positions 28 to 507 of the family's 1533-position model. The record is from RNAcentral.